GUCAAGGGUGAGGAAUCAGUGUGGCCGAG
Molecule: non-coding RNA, 29 nt
Filed under: Mus musculus (house mouse)
Lineage: Eukaryota; Metazoa; Chordata; Mammalia; Rodentia; Muridae
Source: RNAcentral